RNAcentral lists this unclassified non-coding RNA (235 nucleotides) under Hevea brasiliensis (rubber tree). The record is from RNAcentral. Lineage: Eukaryota; Viridiplantae; Streptophyta; Magnoliopsida; Malpighiales; Euphorbiaceae.
UGGUACUAUAGGCAUGCCAUUCAAAACAUAGUUAAUAAAAUGUUAUUCCUGGGCCUAGCAGCCUAUCACACAGAAUGGUUAUGAACCUGACUAUAAUCACUGCAAUACUCAAUUUACUUUAGGACUAUUAUUUUCUAAUGCUGUUCCCUUUCGUGGCUGAUUUGAAAUGAAUGAUAUCUUCAUGUAUUCUCCUGGUGAAUAUGUUUUUCAGCUCGAAGCAGCAGCAGUUAACUUA